UACGGAGGAUCCGAGCGUUAUCCGGAUUUAUUGGGUUUAAAGGGAGCGUAGGUGGAUUGUUAAGUCAGUUGUGAAAGUUUGCGGCUCAACCGUAAAAUUGCAGUUGAAACUGGCAGUCUUGAGUACAGUAGAGGUGGGCGGAAUUCGUGGUGUAGCGGUGAAAUGCUUAGAUAUCACGAAGAACUCCGAUUGCGAAGGCAGCUCACUAGACUGCAGCUGACACUGAUGCUCGAAAGUGUGGGUAUCAAACAGG
This 253-nucleotide ribosomal RNA is filed under the name uncultured bacterium. RNAcentral's name for it is "partial 16S ribosomal RNA". It matches the Rfam family "Bacterial small subunit ribosomal RNA", at positions 524 to 776 of the family's 1533-position model. The record is from RNAcentral.